RNAcentral lists this long non-coding RNA (1052 nucleotides) under Marmota monax (woodchuck). Lineage: Eukaryota; Metazoa; Chordata; Mammalia; Rodentia; Sciuridae. The record is from RNAcentral.
GUUGCUCCAGCACCUGGCCUCCUGCUUCUCCACCAGGUCUUCCUACUGCACUGCUGAUGUCUCCAGAGGCAUUUGAGCUGCAAGGAUGAGAGAUUAGGUGUGCAUCCUGGGCUGAAGCUUCUGAGUGGAACAGGAGAAGCAUAUUGGCCUCAGCUGGACUCAUGUGGGCCAAGCCAAAACUCCUUCGUGAUCCUCAGCGCACACGGCAGUGAUAGCAGCCAAGAUGCCAGCUCUUUUCCUCUGGUUUUCAGACAUGAAGACCUCUGCUCAUUAUGACGUGAGUGUGGGAGACCCUGAGACACUGUCCUGGGAACUGAGCAGGUGGUAAUGUCUUACUAGGCUGGAAAUCACUGUGGUGACAAGGUGACGGAGUAGUCACCAUGGUGAUGGAGAUGGAGGCCUUUGGCCAUAAGUCCCAGUUUUCUGCAUGGCAGCUCUAAUGACAGAAUGGUCACUAUGGCAACCACGGCCCUCUCAGGAGCACAGAGGCCCUGCAGGAGAGUCCCUUACUCCACACCUGGCUAGAGCAGGAAGUACUGAGUGCUACCGAGCCCAGGGAAGCUGGUUGGAGUGUGAGGGACACAGUCACUUGUGGCCUCAUUACUCAAAAGCCGUCCCCAAGCCACUGGAGGAUACAGACCUUUUCUGCUGAGUCUGUCUAGUGGACAGCAAGCCCUCACAGCUCAGCAUAGCCAGAGAGAAAGCCGACUAGCACUGAGGACGCUGCCUCAGAGACGCCAUGGCCCUGCCUAGAGAACACCCGGCCUGAUGAGGCCUUAGCAAGGAAUAGUCCAGAAGAGAACAAUGAAAAGGAGGAAAUUGUAAUUGAACUUCAAACCCCAAAGCAACCUGAGGUAGACCAUAUUCUCCCAGAGGCCCAGGGCUGGCUGUGCUCAGUGCUGGGGAGAAGCCUGGGAUAUCUCUGCUUUGGAAGCCUGGUAGGAAAGGCUGGGGCCCAGCUCCCCCGAGCUGGCUGCUGUGCAGAUGCUGGAUGACAGAGCCAGGAUGGAGGCUACCAAGAAGGAGAAGGUAAUUCUGCCUUAUGAAGAGUU